This 385-nucleotide ribosomal RNA is filed under the name uncultured bacterium. RNAcentral's name for it is "bacterial SSU rRNA". It matches the Rfam family "Bacterial small subunit ribosomal RNA", at positions 29 to 441 of the family's 1533-position model. The record is from RNAcentral.
AACGAACGCUGGCGGCAUGCCUAACACAUGCAAGUCGAACGAGACCUUCGGGUCUAGUGGCGCACGGGUGCGUAACGCGUGGGAAUCUGCCCUUUGCUUCGGAAUAACAGUUAGAAAUGACUGCUAAUACCGGAUGAUGACUUCGGUCCAAAGAUUUAUCGGCAAGGGAUGAGCCCGCGUAGGAUUAGGUAGUUGGUGGGUAAAGGCCUACCAAGCCGACGAUCCUUAGCUGGUCUGAGAGGAUGAUCAGCCACACUGGGACUGAGACACGGCCCAGACUCCUACGGGAGGCAGCAGUGGGGGAAUAUUGGACAAUGGGCGAAAGCCUGAUCCAGCAAUGCCGCGUGAGUGAUGAAGGCCUUAGGGUUGUAAAGCUCUUUUACCA